UACAGAGGUCUCAAGCGUUGUUCGGAUUCAUUGGGCGUAAAGGGUGCGUAGGUGGCGCGGUAAGUCGGGUGUGAAAUCUCGGGGCUUAACUCCGAAACUGCAUUCGAUACUGCCGUGCUUGAGGACUGGAGAGGAGACUGGAAUUUACGGUGUAGCAGUGAAAUGCGUAGAUAUCGUAAGGAAGACCAGUGGCGAAGGCGGGUCUCUGGACAGUUCCUGACACUGAGGCACGAAGGCCAGGGGAGCAAACAGG
Molecule: ribosomal RNA, 253 nt
Filed under: uncultured bacterium
Lineage: Bacteria
Description: partial 16S ribosomal RNA
Rfam family: Bacterial small subunit ribosomal RNA
Source: RNAcentral